GCAGCAUUUACUCAUGGGGAAUACCCAAGCAGUAUAUAUCGAGGGAGGGACAGAGUUCAAAAACAGCCAAUAGCUAUAAAACCAUUAUUGAGCUGCAUAAACCUUAGAAGACUCAAAAAAAAAGCCAAACAAGACAUCAAUAGGAUGUUGUCAUACAUUCUGCUCAGACAAGUUAAUUAACCUAGAGGCUGCAAGGUCAGCAACCUCCUGGCAUUCAAUAUCUGAAAUAUCCUAAAUAUAGUCAGAUAGGAAUUAAGGCCAUGAUAGCAUAAGUCAGAGAAGGAUAAUGCCAUUUUGAUAUAAAAUUUUAAAACCAAAUUGAUGACCUUAUCAGAUCAGAACCUUGACAAAAAGGCAUAACAGAAGGUUGGAUGAGAACAUACACACCAUGCUAUUAAACAUGGCGAGAAUUACACUGAGAAUCUCGCAACUCUCUGGAUGUAAUUAUUAAUGACGAUUCACACUGCUUCCUCUUGCCUUGUGAACUACUUACCUGUGGAUACAGGAAAUAAAUCAAUACCUGCCUGUCAGAAAGAGGCAGAGCCUAGUAGAGAAAUAAGUGUUAUUAAAACACUGCAAUAAUGAAUGAAUAUAUAUAUA
Molecule: non-coding RNA, 600 nt
Organism: Pelobates cultripes (western spadefoot toad)
Lineage: Eukaryota; Metazoa; Chordata; Amphibia; Anura; Pelobatidae
Source: the annotation of a GenBank genome assembly